GACGAACGCUGGCGGCGUGCCUAAUACAUGUAAGUAGAACGCACAGUUUAUACCGUAGCUUGCUACACCAUAGACUGUGAGUUGCGAACGGGUGAGUAACGCGUAGGUAACCUGCCUGGUAGCGGGGGAUAACUAUUGGAAACGAUAGCUAAUACCGCAUAAUAUUAAUUAUUGCAUGAUAAUUAAUUGAAAGGUGCAAUUGCACCACUACCAGAUGGACCUGCGUUGUAUUAGCUAGUAGGUGAGGUAACGGCUCACCUAGGCGACGAUACAUAGCCGACCUGAGAGGGUGAUCGGCCACACUGGGACUGAGACACGGCCCAGACUCCUACGGGAGGCAGCAGUAGGGAAUCUUCGGCAAUGGACGAAAGUCUGACCGAGCAACGCCGCGUGAGUGAAGAAGGUUUUCGGAUCGUAAAGCUCUGUUGUAAGAGAAGAACGGGCGUGAGAGUGGAAAGUUCACACUGUGACGGUAUCUUACCAGAAAGGGACGGCUAACUACGUG
This 505-nucleotide ribosomal RNA is filed under the name uncultured bacterium. RNAcentral describes it as "partial 16S ribosomal RNA". It matches the Rfam family "Bacterial small subunit ribosomal RNA", at positions 28 to 507 of the family's 1533-position model. The record is from RNAcentral.